GGAGGAAAUCUUUUAUCGCCAAAAUCAGACUGAGCAAGGAAGCCAUAGCAAAAUGAAAAAGGCAAGACACCAGGAAACCUUGGCCAUAAAGGCCCUCCAAGACAGCCACUUCCUAGCCAAUUCAAUUAAUUCAUGACUACAACAGGUAUA
Lutra lutra (Eurasian river otter) is the source of this 150-nucleotide long non-coding RNA. RefSeq lists it as uncharacterized. The transcript is spliced from 3 exons. Lineage: Eukaryota; Metazoa; Chordata; Mammalia; Carnivora; Mustelidae. The record is from RefSeq and is a predicted model, not a curated record.